Ochotona curzoniae (black-lipped pika) is the source of this 401-nucleotide long non-coding RNA. RefSeq lists it as uncharacterized. NCBI's taxonomy places the organism in Eukaryota, Metazoa, Chordata, Mammalia, Lagomorpha, Ochotonidae. The transcript is spliced from 3 exons. The record is from RefSeq and is a predicted model, not a curated record.
GUGCUUCAUUUCCACAUGAAGCAAGCAGCCUGUGUUGUUGUGACCUGGCAUUGUGACAACUGUACAUGCCCAGGUGUUUCAUUUCUGAGCGCAAUCUUGGUUUUUGCUAUGCUCUUCCGUGGCUCUGUUGUCCUGUAGGCACACUUGAAUUGGUGAGCCGAGUAUCUUGGAAUACUGCGAACUGAUUACUACAUUCAGGUCACAUUGGCUCUCUGAGUACAUGUCCGCUGUGUAAGAUCGACAGGACUGGAUUCACAGCAGAGAGAAGAGAGUGACCCCUUUCCCUAUUUGGAACAACAUACCUCUUCCUUCCUUUAAGGGAGUUGAAGGCUGAUACUGGGACGAUCCACCAGGUGGCGCUGCAAGACUGCUUAGUGUGGGUUAUACUCAGAAAAAAAGAA